Molecule: unclassified non-coding RNA, 272 nt
Filed under: Hevea brasiliensis (rubber tree)
Lineage: Eukaryota; Viridiplantae; Streptophyta; Magnoliopsida; Malpighiales; Euphorbiaceae
Source: RNAcentral
AACAGCAUCUGACCCAUCUCCAGCAAAAGUUGGUCGUGGCAAGGACCAUAAGCCAUAUGUUAGGCGCCAUUUGCUUGAAGAUUUAUCUCGUGAACUUGGCUUCGAUGAAGAUUCUGAGAAAGCAGGCUGUGAUGGAGUUUCCGGUCAGAAGGACCAUAUCUGUGCAGCAGUUGGGGUGGAGGAUCGGGAUUGUCUAAAUAAGUACUUCACUUGUGCAGCUGAGGAGAGAUGUCCGAGUGGAAAUGCUGGCAGUGAGGAAAACUCAUCUGUAU